This 1764-nucleotide long non-coding RNA is filed under the name Pomacea canaliculata. RNAcentral's name for it is "uncharacterized LOC112575988". Lineage: Eukaryota; Metazoa; Mollusca; Gastropoda; Architaenioglossa; Ampullariidae. The record is from RNAcentral.
AAACAAACACGACGGAGACAUGGCGACUCUGUGCUGUCAAGCAGACGGUAUCGUACUUUAGGCAUUUAAAAUAUGUUUUCAUAAGAUUUGUUUAGUGAAAAUACAAGGGUCCAUAUUGUGGGAACCAUUUACGUAGACUGACGAGAUGUUUGGAGGCAAAAAGAUCAAAAAGUGUUAUUAAAAGUCACUAUGCUGUCAUAAUUAUAUUCUGCUGUCAUCUAAGUAGUGACACUGACAGCACAGGCCGACACAAUGACAUCCUGUAGUCACAGCACACAACACUAAGGCCUCCCAAGUGCGUUGGUACCGAGGACAACGGUUGUCUGUUUGUGGGGAGAACAGCCAUUUGUCAAGCAGAAGAAAAGAAUCAGUUCUCAGUUGAACAAGGCAAAUCGUCUUUACUUCGGAUGCAAGACUGAGGACCAAGACAUCCUUGAGGUCCACAUACAUGUUGUGUUACAUGUGUAACAGCUUUCACAGAGGCUGAAUGACAGGAGAGCAUCAAUGGCGUGUGCAGUGGCCAUGGUGUGGAGAGAGCCUGGCAACCACACAAUAACUGUUACUUCUGCCUGCUACCUCCUCUUUCCGUCGGGAUGAAGAGACAAAAGAAGUGGAGAGUAGUCUACCCCAGCAUCCGUCUGCGUUGAGACCAGCUUCACAUGGUUUCACCUUUGACCUCUAGAAGCAUGGGAAAAACCCAGCCACUUACCGCCUAUUAUCUAUUGUCUACCUGACUGGUAUUAUCGCUGUGAAGUCAGUUCCACUACCAAUGGCAGCUGUCAGUCCAUGCUCCCUGUUACUAUUCACUGUCAGACCUGUCUUGCCUGUCAAACGCAAAGGUGGAACCUCGGAAACUGACUGAAGGUUCAAACUGAUUGUUGUGUCAACAAGUCUGUUUACAUUCUGACGGCCAUCAUCCUCUUGUCAACAUGAGCAGCUGCACUAACAGCUAACAAUCAACUCUUUGCUGUUUGUGUGUUGUUAUGUAUUUGUGUAGAGAGCUGUGAGCCUGCCUUCAUGUUGGGGUAGGGCGAUAUAUAAACAUUUGUAUUAUUAUAUUUGCUGAGUAAACUGCAGGUGAGACACGCAGACUUCUGAUUGUCCAUGGUGCCAUCUAGUUAUUGGCAUCAGAAGGUCUUUGUGUAAGGACUGUGUGUUAGGAAACAAAAAUCUGUAAUUAUCUUUCACCUCACAUUCCAUAGUCAAUCUCGACUAAUGUUUAAGUUGAAACCUAAAGCAAACCUGUUGUGUGAAUCUUAAUUUAGUAAAAAUGUUUUACUGAUAAUGGUACGUGUGUGUAACUGUGUGUGAUUUGCAUCAAUUUAUGCUUUCACUUUCUUCUGUAUUUAAGGUUAUUUUGCAAUUUAAGCCUGUAUUGCACAAAUUAUAAAGAAAAAUAAAUAUUAUUUUUAAUGUAAGUGGUUUAGUGACUAAGGUCAGUGUAGUGCCAUAACAGACACAGUCAGCCCCCACAUUGAGAAUGAUCAACAAGAAUGUGUUCCGUCGACAGCUCGUACACACUUGUGCAAGGUGAAAAGCUCAAAACUCAAAUAAAAAAGAAAGAACAAUUUGAUUGAAGAUAGAUAUGUUUACUUCAAGAUUAUUUCAUCCAGCAGCAGAAGCAGACUAAAAGAUGGAGCAAGAGUGAAGUGAACACACAGACAUAACAGAGAGCUUGUGUGUAAGGACAUCGUGGACAAUGUUUCAAGCUGCACGUGACACGAUGACAAGAGUCAUCAUAGGGCUACAGUAGACACAGUGAGC